This 63-nucleotide transfer RNA is filed under the name Hippodamia variegata. Its description in RNAcentral is "tRNA-Ala". The record is from RNAcentral. Lineage: Eukaryota; Metazoa; Arthropoda; Insecta; Coleoptera; Coccinellidae.
AGGAUAAUAGUUAAAUUAACAUUUAAUUUGCAUUUAAAAAAUACUGAAGUUCAGUUUAUCUUA